AACUACUCACUAUGUUUAACUAUAUUUAACAUUAUACUUAUGUCCUGUCAUAGUUUCAACAGUAUUGGAAGUGACAGAAAGCACUCCAGCAUGAAGAGUACACGCUCAGAAGGCAGCUGCUCUCUGACCACAGUGGACUUCAAAAGUUUCAGGGGUACAUGGAAUCACAAAAUUCAUCAAAACAGGGAGAUAUGGAGGGCCCAAGCAGGAAAAGACCUGGAGGUAAAGGUCACCCAGAUGGCAGAGGAGCGUAGCCAAGAAGACAAAGAGACAAAUGGUGGAAAAGACACAAGCACAACUGUCGACGAAGCCAACAUGGGACAGGGGAAAAUGAAAAAAGAAUCCGUGGGACAAGAGGUGCAGAACAGGAGACAGCAAGAAGAAAGACAGACUAACGAUGAAAGAAACAAUAAUCAGGCUCAGUCUGCAAGCAUUCUGCUGAAAUCAGUCCCUGAUGCCAUAAAGAAGUCACCUGAUGGACACAUGGAGAAGCAGCAAUCCCAGAAUGACCCUCAAACUGUUUUCCCUCUGAUUCAUUAUCGCAAAAGACCAACCUAUUGUACCAGCUCCUACAGACUGAUCAGGGCAAAAGUCAUAGAAAUAUGGCCUAUUGAUGCCAGAACAAAAGCCAGGAGACUGCAACGCUUCUACUCGCGUCAAUGGAAAUAACCUUGUAAGUUUGGAGUGUAUUAUAAUGGCAUAUUGUGUGAUGUACUCUUUCAUCACUCUGCUUCAGUUUUUCCUUUGUGCAUAAACUCAGAAUUCCUUUCCCAGUAAAAAUAUAAUUAUUUGCACUUAGUUUCCUUAUUUGUAUUAUUGUAGGGUCUUUACCUUAUAUUAAAUUAAUUUUAUUAUUUUAAGUUCCAAUGGAAAAACAUUUAUGUUGCAAUUUUACACCAUGGAUACUAUGUUUUUGUUUUUGUUGCUCAUAAAUUUCCCCAUAACUCAUCCCAUACCUUGUGAACAUAUAGACAUCUAUGUGUUUCUUCUUUAUGUUAUAAAGUAAUACAGUAGAAGGCUUUGUACAGGUUAGUUUCAUUGUGUGUUCAGUUUAAAGAGAUUGCUAUUCUUGUUUACACACUGCAAAGACUCCAGACAAAAACUAUGGUAGAAGUUUUUUUUUUAAUAUAACAUCUACAAUAACUACAAUUUCAAUUUUAUGUUCAUGAACAAUUUGAAUAUGGACUGUAGGCCAGAUACUUUUGGGUGACCUUGUAAGUAUUAUGUUUUUAAUUUUAUCAGAGUUUAAAAUAAGUUUAUGUGUAAUCAGAGAACUUUUUAAAUGCAUCAAAAUGGAAUGACCUGAUCAGGGGAAAGGCCAGACACAUAUAAACCAGUUAUCUGCAUAAAAAUGUAUAGCAGUUUUGGGUGACAGGGAUAUUGUUGUUUAUGCACAGAGUGAAUAAAAAAGAUCCAAAACUAAAUCUCUGUGGAACACCUGGACAAAUAGAUGAUUUGGAACACCUGGACAAAUAGAUGAUUUGUCCAGGUGUUCCACAGGUAUCUAGAGAGAGAGCGAGAGGGAGAGAAAAGAAAAGAAACAUAAAAAGUGAAUUGUUCAAUAAACAAGUAAUACAAGAAUUGUGAAUUAAGAAACCCAAGUGGCAACACCAAUAAAUGGGCUUUGGCUGAUUUUGGGUGUACAUACACACAAAAUGAAAAUAAAAAAACAAAACAAAACAUUAGUCAUUUUUGCAAUGCAUUAUGGGUCCUCAAAAUUGCAUCCCUUUUUCACUCAUAACUCAGUUUCUAUACCUCCUACACCCAACAUGUGCUAUAUCGCUUCUAAGGUCUCCUCCAAAUCGAUCCCAUGGUACACAUAUCUCAGUUUCUAAUCUCACAAUUGUGAUUCAACCAGCCACUCCCUUGCAGGCCUAUAUACAGUGGUAUAUAAAGUAUACAAUUUAUAGCUCUGUCUGAAUCUGGACCCUUUGCUUCAUGCCCUGCUUGUCACCGCCUUGUCUGGACAGCAUCUCCCUAACAUCACGCAGGCUUCCGAACCUGUAACAC
Oreochromis niloticus (Nile tilapia) is the source of this 2010-nucleotide long non-coding RNA. The record is from Ensembl. NCBI's taxonomy places the organism in Eukaryota, Metazoa, Chordata, Actinopteri, Cichliformes, Cichlidae.